Molecule: ribosomal RNA, 547 nt
Filed under: Bifidobacterium adolescentis
Lineage: Bacteria; Bacillati; Actinomycetota; Actinomycetes; Bifidobacteriales; Bifidobacteriaceae
Description: partial 16S ribosomal RNA
Rfam family: Bacterial small subunit ribosomal RNA
Source: RNAcentral
UCUCCUGGAAACGGGUGGUAAUGCCGGAUGCUCCAGUUGACCGCAUGGUCCUCUGGGAAAGCUUUUGCGGUAUGGGAUGGGGUCGCGUCCUAUCAGCUUGAUGGCGGGGUAACGGCCCACCAUGGCUUCGACGGGUAGCCGGCCUGAGAGGGCGACCGGCCACAUUGGGACUGAGAUACGGCCCAGACUCCUACGGGAGGCAGCAGUGGGGAAUAUUGCACAAUGGGCGCAAGCCUGAUGCAGCGACGCCGCGUGCGGGAUGACGGCCUUCGGGUUGUAAACCGCUUUUGACUGGGAGCAAGCCCUUCGGGGUGAGUGUACCUUUCGAAUAAGCACCGGCUAACUACGUGCCAGCAGCCGCGGUAAUACGUAGGGUGCAAGCGUUAUCCGGAAUUAUUGGGCGUAAAGGGCUCGUAGGCGGUUCGUCGCGUCCGGUGUGAAAGUCCAUCGCUUAACGGUGGAUCCGCGCCGGGUACGGGCGGGCUUGAGUGCGGUAGGGGAGACUGGAAUUCCCGGUGUAACGGUGGAAUGUGUAGAUAUCGGAAAA